CUAUGUACGCCAAAAAGGAACAAAUAUAAAAUAGGAAGAAGAACAAGAACAAGAAAAUCUCUAGAAUGUUGUCGGAUGAAAAUAUGAUUUUCUUAAUAGUGUCGUUCGUUCUUUAGUAGGUUAACGUCGUCGUUUACCAAACUCGAGUUGUCUGUCUUCUCCCGUCAAAACAAACGAUUUUCAUUCGUUUCGAAGAGCUUUAAAUCCAGGCACGAGUGCAAGCGUGUUAUGUGGCGUAUCUAAUUGGAGCACCUCUCUCUCCCUCCAAUAAAUAUUGCGUUGCAUUUGCGUUGGAGGAGGAUGCUAGAAGAAGAAGAACAAGAAGAAGAAAAAAAAAACGAACCAAGAUGAACAAGAUGAACAAGAAGAAGAAGAAGCUUUCGAUGAGAGGAAGGUGAAGAAGAAGAAGAAGAAGAAGAAGAAGAAGAAGACGUCGCGCGCACAUAAGACAUUGAAAAAGAGGGAGGAAGAUAUAGAGAUAGAAAAAGAAAGAGAGAGAGAGAGAGAGAGAUAAAACGCGCCUGCGCUAAACGUAACGGAGAAGCAAGCAGCGCGCUGCUUCUCGUACCACCCGGUAUUAACUAUAGGUACACACCUAUCUACGUCGUCGUCGAAGCUCAUGGCGCCAGUUUGAAGUACGCUCCUUCCGUGGAUGCACUCUUCCGUGUCUCGUUAAAUAAACUUCGUUAAUCGCAUGCGCGAAUUUUACUUUGAAAUUUUCGCGCCCUGCCCUAGAUUUCAAAUUUUCGCGCCUUUAAUCAUUUUUCCAUCCCCGUCCUUGUGUUCCCCCCCACCUCUGCCACACCGUUCACCGUGAUAAACGUUGAUUUUACUAUCCAAUGAUCGGAUUUGUAUAAGUAGAAAGAUUUCAUUGUUAGAUCGUUUAAAGAUUUCUUCUUUUCUUUUUUUUUUUUUUUGUGUGUGUGCGUACGUGUACGUUUUUGCUCUCUUCGUAUCAUCGUAUCAUUCUAUUAUCGAGAGAGAAGAUAUAUAUAUAUAAAUCAUCAACUCACGCGAUUCUGGUAUCCCAAUAUUAUUGAUCCUCAAUUGGAUCUAAUUUGAUCGUUCUGAAAUUUCAAUCGGAAGGGAAAGGGGGCGAAGGAAAUCACGAAGAUAAAAUAAUUAAUCAAAUAAAUACACAAUUACUUUUACUAUAAUUAGAUUUUGUCAAGCAUCAUGCAAUUGUUAUCCCUUUUAAAAGAUUUCGAAGAAAAAACAUUUGAUUAAAUCGUAAUGUAAUUAUAGUUACCUUUCGUGAUUGGUCUAGUAUCCUAAUCUAUAUAUGUUAGUAAGUUUUAUCAAAAGAAUAUCUUAACUACCAACACUCCAAUUUCGUUCUCUCAGUGAAAAACAAUCGGAAUAUUGGGGUUGGACGUUAAACGAGAACAUUCAAUUGAAAAAUGUUAAAAUUUCAUCGAAUAAACUAAAUAAA
Polistes canadensis is the source of this 1432-nucleotide long non-coding RNA. RefSeq lists it as uncharacterized. NCBI's taxonomy places the organism in Eukaryota, Metazoa, Arthropoda, Insecta, Hymenoptera, Vespidae. The record is from RefSeq and is a predicted model, not a curated record. The transcript is spliced from 3 exons.